UCGAUUAACCUGACACAAGGCAGGGAUGUUUUUGGCUGGAACCUUACUACAUCGGGGUCUUUCACAGUAGACUUUAUGUAUCAUGCGCUAAUGCAUUCUGAUGUACCAGUGAGUAAUAACAAGAAAAUUUGGAAGUCGAAGAUUCCACUAAAAGUUAAAAUCUUCAUGUGGUAUCUUCAUAGGGGAGUUGUGCUAACCAAAGACAACCUUGCACGACGCACCUGGCCAUGAAGUAAGCAGUGUUGCUUUUGUGCUCAUGACGAGACAAUGAAGCACCUCUUUUUCCAAUGCAAGUUUGCACGUUCUACAUGGUCAGUCAUCCAAAUAGCUUCAAAUUUGUAUCCGCCCACAAGUGUUGCCAAUAUAUUUGGUCAUUGGUUGGACGGUAUUUCAAAUAAGUUCAAAACGCUAAUAAGGGUGGGAGCAUAUGCUAUAUAG
RNAcentral lists this ribosomal RNA (438 nucleotides) under Triticum aestivum (bread wheat). RNAcentral's name for it is "partial small subunit ribosomal RNA". The record is from RNAcentral. Lineage: Eukaryota; Viridiplantae; Streptophyta; Magnoliopsida; Poales; Poaceae.